Molecule: ribosomal RNA, 164 nt
Filed under: uncultured bacterium
Lineage: Bacteria
Description: partial 16S rRNA
Rfam family: Bacterial small subunit ribosomal RNA
Source: RNAcentral
UAGGGAAUCCUCCACAAUGGGCGCAAGCCUGAUGGAGCAACACCGCGUGAGUGAAGAAGGGUUUCGGCUCGUAAAGCUCUGUUGUUAAAGAAGAACACGUAUGAGAGUAACUGUUCAUACGUUGACGGUAUUUAACCAGAAAGUCACGGCUAACUACGUGCAAG